GGGGGUAUAGCUCAGUUGGCUAGAGCGCUUGCAUGGCAUGCAAGAGGUCAGGGGUUCGACUCCCCUUACCUCCA
RNAcentral lists this transfer RNA (74 nucleotides) under Bacteroidota bacterium. Its description in RNAcentral is "tRNA-Ala". It matches the Rfam family "tRNA". Rfam says of the family: Transfer RNA (tRNA) molecules are approximately 80 nucleotides in length. Their secondary structure includes four short double-helical elements and three loops (D, anti-codon, and T loops). Further hydrogen bonds mediate the characteristic L-shaped molecular structure. tRNAs have two regions of fundamental functional importance: the anti-codon, which is responsible for specific mRNA codon recognition, and the 3' end, to which the tRNAs corresponding amino acid is attached (by aminoacyl-tRNA synthetases). tRNAs cope with the degeneracy of the genetic code in two manners: having more than one tRNA (with a specific anti-codon) for a particular amino acid; and 'wobble' base-pairing, i.e. permitting non-standard base-pairing at the 3rd anti-codon position. The record is from RNAcentral. RNAcentral also lists the same sequence under 7 other names. Lineage: Bacteria; Pseudomonadati; Bacteroidota.